Molecule: non-coding RNA, 6899 nt
Organism: Varroa destructor (honeybee mite)
Lineage: Eukaryota; Metazoa; Arthropoda; Arachnida; Mesostigmata; Varroidae
Source: RefSeq, a predicted model, not a curated record
CAUUCCGAAACACGCUCGUAGCUGCUGUGUAGCUUUCUCCGAUUGAUACUGUAUUCGCGCUGUAUUAGCUUUGCCUAGAUCUGGCGCCACCCGUUGUUGCUUCGUCUUCGAGAUACGACUCUGCGUGACAUUUGAGACUGCCAUAAUUGUUGUUGAACUGGCAUUCAGCUUAGCUCGGGCUCAACUUUACGGUGGUCGGCGCCGACGAUCACUUAAUGGUUACUAAUUGCCAUGUUAGAAUGGCUAUUGUGAACUGCGAAAGUCAAGCGGAACAGGGACGCCAAUCAUAGCAAAUGCUCUAUGACUUAACUGUCGAUUGUGUUCAUAGAUCGCUGUAUAAAUGUACAUGUUUGUAUAAAUGUUCAGCAAUUAGGACUCGAUGUUUCUUACUCUUGGUGUCCUGUCUUCAUGUCAGUAUUAGACGGUAUCGAGGUGUGAAGUGUUCAAUGUUGUGUUUCGUAACUUCGUUGUUUCCUUGAGUUUCGCCAAAUGACGUUUUGUGACUAACAAUGACUAUCCUCGCGAGCCGACUGUGUGCGCGGUGCUCAAACGCUUAUAGUUUGUGUGACUACGACUAUACGAUGUCGGGAUUAGAUGGAGUGGCUCAACCGCUCCUCACAGAUAUGUACCAGCUAUCAAUGGCGUAUGCUUACUGGUGCUCAGGAAAACACAGCAAACCGGCUGUAUUUGAACUGUUUUUCCGCAGUAAUCCAUUUCAGGGCGAAUUCACUGUCUUUGCAGGAUUAGCAGAUUGUGUGGAGUUUCUUAAAAAGUUCCGCUACUCCGUUUCCGAUCUGGACUAUCUUCGAAAAGAGAUGCCCACAGUGAAAAAUGAGUUCUUCGAUUAUCUUGCUCAGUUGACAGCAAAGGACGUGAAGUUGUAUUCCGUGCAGGAAGGCAGCGUCGUUUUUCCUCGGAUACCUCUUCUAAGAAUUGAGGGACCGUUAGCGCUGGUACAGCUUCUUGAGACUACCCUCCUAAAUCUGGUCAACUAUGCAUCACUUGUAGCUACAAACGCUGCAAGGUUUCGUCUUGCAGCUGGUUCAAAGACGCGACUACUCGAGUUCGGUCUACGGCGAGCCCAAGGCCCGAACGGUGGUUUGUCUGCUUCAAAGUACGCCUAUGUUGGCGGCUUUGAUGGUACUUCAAAUGUGAUGGCAGGGAAGCUUUUCAAAAUACCCGUUCGAGGUACUCAUGCCCACGCAUUUGUUAUGAGCUUCAAUCUCGAAGAUGAAAUUGAAAAUCCUACACUGCCGCAUGCCAUUACUGGCGAACAGAAAAACCUACUUGAGUUGAGUUUGAAUUGGCGAAAAGAACUGUGCGAAUCACAAAUUUUUCAGUUAUCGCAGUCGAACGAUGCCGAACUUUAUGCGUUCAUUUCGUACGCACUAGCAUUUCCUAAAAGCUUUUUGGGUCUUGUCGACACCUAUGAUGUCGUUCGAUCUGGGUUGAUCAACUUCUGUUCAGUUGCCUUGGCAUUAGAUGAAAUGGGUUAUCGAGCAGUCGGCAUUCGGCUCGACUCCGGUGAUUUGGCCUAUUUAUCCCGUGAAGCACACAUGAUAUUUCAGAAGAUCUCAGAGCGGUAUGAUCGGCCGUACUUCGUCGAUCUGACAAUUGUUGCAAGUAAUGAUAUAAACGAAGAAACGAUUAUCUCACUUAACGAACAAGGUCAUAACAUCAACUGUUUCGGGAUCGGAACGCAUCUAGUGACGUGUCAGAAGCAGCCGGCGCUUGGCUGUGUGUAUAAGUUGGUUGAAAUAGAUGCGCAGCCGUGCAUCAAGUUGAGCAACGACCUGCAAAAGGUUACCAUACCAGGUCGAAAAAAAGCUUUCAGACUCUAUGGUCGGGACGGACACCCUCUUUUAGAUCUACUGCAACUGAUCGAUGAAGAUGCACCAAUGCCCGGAGAGAAGGUAUUGUGCCGUCACCCAUUCAUCUCGACAAAACGGGCAUUCGUAUGCCCUCACAAGGUAGAAUCACUCUAUCAAUUGUAUUGGUCCGACGGUGCAGAACAGAGUCCCCUACCGGAGCUGGAAAUCGUUCGCCAACGGGUGAUGUCGCAGAUGCAUUCGCUACGCGCUGACAUCAAGCGCACACUUAAUCCCACACCUUAUAAAGUGUCUGUUACGGAGAAGCUCUAUACGUUUAUGCAUGAACUCUGGUUGAAGAACGCGCCUAUUGGCGAGCUAUCGUAAUUUGACGAAGGGCAAGGUCGUGGAUGACGGCGGACACCGUAACCAAAAUUAGUUGACACACAAAAAAUUGUCAGGUGUUCCGUGCUUCAAGGUAUCAUAUGCAAUCAAGUCUGGUAGUACGAGGUAAUACUACUCGGAUAAUUCCCAUUCAACCGCAGCCGCCGCCAACGCAGAACUGCAACUUGAAUACAGCUAUCAUGUGAGCGUACCGAUCCUGCUUGCUUGUAUUACUCCGAACAACAAUAUAUCUGAACUGUGUGUAGAUUUGUACACUUUUACCCAUAGGUGGGGUGUAUAUGUACCCAUACCUACCCUAUGGGUAGGUAUGGGUACAUAUACGCUUCAUUCCGCCAGCAACUGCAAUUGCUCGUUAGUUCAUAGCUAGAACUCACCGCUCACUUAUCACUCACUCAGAAGAUGAGUUGACAUUACGGGACAUCGUCUGCGGCAUUAUAGAUGAUGGCAACUGCAGUAACAAUAACAGAAGGGCAUAGCAAAGUGUGAACGAGGCGUCAAUGAACAAAUGGCAGCAUUUAAGUGUGAAUAUACUUGCGGAAAGACGCCGACUGCUCCGCGUAUCGUCUCGAUCGUCGUAACGUACUAUAGGGACGGUAAUCCUUGUCGCCGUUCUCUGCAUCCAUCCAACCUAUUAUACUGACACAUGAUUGACCACCAUCCUUAUAGCACGUACGCAUACUAUUUAAUAUUGAGCUAAGAUCGUUACCACCGUCCAUUCCGCUACCCAGAACCGCUGGCGACCCAACGCACUGCUACUGCUACUCGGAUGAUAGAAAGAUCUAGAUGAAUGAGCACGACACCUACAUAACGGAAACUAAAUAACUUAAAGGACUAAAAUGGCUUCGACAACACGACAGGAUCAAUCAAAGUGAGACACAUACUGCGAGUUUGGCAGGAAUUAUGUAACAAACGUACAGGGUAGGACGGUAGAUUUGAUCCAACGGGGGAUGAAAAGGUUAUCUCUGUAACAAGGUAAUGGUAGUACAGAUUAAUUGCUAGUCCAUAAGUUGUCGUUGAUGCAUGGGUAUAUUGAAGGAAUUGGUGUAAAAACAAGAAACAUGAACUAAUAGAGAAAGAAAACGUACUUUAUAAGUUGAAGUAAAUGGUAUACAAACAAUGCAGCUUUUCAUAAAACAACGUUCGACUAUAUACAAAUGGUGAACGUAUUCGUCGAGUAGAUUAUUUCGCUUUUAUAUUGAUUUUUUUCUUAUUUGUAGUAGCUGGUGAAUCAAGCAUGUAUAUAGUCUUCGACAAUAUCUGUCUCCGGCAUCUAAGGGUAGUAUGGGUGUUUUGGCGGACUGACACAGAAUGGCCUAUAAGCACUGGCAUCUAACGGCUGGGCUGUACAAGUUGCUGUGCUUUUGGGGCUCUUCGAUCUUAAUCUGUGAACAGAAGAUACAUACGCCGAAUACAUGACAAUACUUGUAGGUCCAGUGAUCCGUACGCGACAUACCAUAUAUGCAUUAUUGUCGUCUUAGGCCAGUCAUGGUGACCUUUGAAAUGAAAAUAUAUAUGUGUUUUUUUGUUCGACCAAUGUUGCGAUGGUAGAUGUUGAUAUCGGCCUAUAGGUGAUGGGAGUCAUUCAUAAUUGAGGUUAGGCUGUUGCUAUACGAGACAGGCUAACAUAACUCUAUUGCAAAAAUCGAUGAUUUCUGAUAUCACAUAACCGGUACGCCUAUAGUUCUUUGGUGACCUUUGAAAAUGUAUGCAUCGACAACUCAGGGACUGAUUGACUUUUGCCAACUAUCUACUUCUAAGUAUCCUAUAGCGAUGACGCUAGUGGACUCUGUUUCUCUCACGUUUGUUUUUCGCGGAUACCGAUGCUUUUAAAAUGCAGUAUGUUGCCGUUUAGCUCUCUGGCCUUUCUCUACAGCAUCCCUGCCAUUGUUAGUUCUCAGUGCAAACGUUGCAGGUCAAUUUCAGCCGGACAUAGUUGUUUCGAGCGGGCGUCUAAUUUUUUUCCGUUGCGCGACUACAUCUCCAUACAACACGUUUGUGGGCAUGGUACGAAGCUAGUAUCAAAAAACAUUACUUAUCGUGCGGGUUCUAAUCCCAAGGUCUAUUUAAUUUAGUACCCGCCUGGAGUUUAUGCGAGCCAUCGCUAAAAUGAAAUUCAAAGGUGCAACAACAUCUUCCUUAAACUUAUUUCUACGUGAUGCGAGCUCUUGAAAGAAACUCUUUCUAUCUAAAAAAUGUUUCGGCUUUUCGUGGCCUUCCUACAGCGUUCGAGAAACGUGCCUUUCCGAUAAUGAAAAAAGCAUUUAUGAAGUCUAUUCUUGGUAAACGCAUUUGUGUCCUUUUGUCUCUUAUGUUAAAGUGCUUUUCCUUUAGGCCGAACUAUACGAAUCUAAACGAUUAUAAUCCUAUACAGGAAGGUCUGCCGUACAAGCCUGGCGAAAGGUCAUUUUAGCAAGAAAGUUUAACAGCACGUUCCUGAUCAUUAAAGCCCCAUGGAACCAAAUGCUUCAUCGGCUACGCUCCUAGAUCUCGCUAUGGACCAAGUUUGUAUGUGAGACUCCUUAUACGGUUUAACUCGGUUCGAGCAACUACAAAAAAACUCAUCAAAACCAUUUGUUCUACCCAGCGUAGUUUUUAGCAUGCCAAGGGUUUUAUAUUUUCAACUUUCCUGGUCACAGCAUACAUUCAUCACCUUACUGUGUUUUCCAAACUCAUAAUACGGCUAGAUUUUUGUAGAACACGAAAGCCUGUAGUCCUCGAUUAUUCACUUCUGAUCACCGCCCCAAGCGUGAUUCGUCGUUUACUAGAGCUUUAAAGCGCUGGAAUCAACUUCCGGAGACGCUGUCAGAUACUGCUCCGCAUUUGCUUGCAGUGCCGUACGCUGUCUAACCGUUGUCUGUUUCAGAUGAUUAAGUACAAUAUUUAAGAAGCGAGUGACAAGUUAAAAAUUUUUCCAUCGCACGACGUGAUCGUACAAAGAUAUGCUACAAAUGAACUCUGUGGAAACGCAAGCUAUGCAACAGACAAAAAUGACCUAACGGAGGAACGUGCAUAACUUCUAAUAAAGCGACUGCUUCAAAUGUACAUACAACGAUGUUUUAGAAUUGUCGGCUACGCUCCUAGAUCUCGCUAUGGACCAAGUUUGUAUGUGAGACUCCUUAUACGGUUUAACUCGGUUCGAGCAACUACAAAAAAACUCAUCAAAACCAUUUGUUCUACCUUUGAACAUCGUUUUGGUUUUAUUAAUUACUUUUAAUGUUUUUCCUAACGUGGAAUAAUACUCUAAUGACCUGAUGAGUACGCAUAAUUGAGACUAAAAAAACAUUGAAAAAAACAUUUGAAUGUAUGCUAUCCACUGCUUACUUUCAAGUAUUGAAUCUCAAAAAAUACCAUUGUUCGAUAUACAGGCACAACCUCAGGUCAGUGGGAGGUAGGCUACUUGCAUAUAUCACCAGGCAAACCUGUUCUUCAGAGCUUAGGCAAACCUCAUUUAAUUACAGUGCCCUUAACUAUGUCACUACAACUGUGCUGACCAUGUGCGCAGGUGUCUAAUUGACCGCUAAAAGGAGUAGGUCCAGAGGGCCUAAGCGUGAAAGAAGCCCUCGGUCACAUUACCCGAAGUGUACAAUUCAAGCUAAAGUUUAAUGUACGUUCUAGUUACAUAGUACUAUUAUUAGGCAUCGCCCAGAGAAUGACGACAUUGUAAUAACUACUCUGCACUCGAGCGGAUUCAAGCGGAGCAAGUUUGCCUCUAUAUAAUUAGACAAUUGUCGUUUCUUGGAUCUCUCUUUUUGCUCUUAAACUCAUGCCCUCCUCAUUGAAAUCUACAACGCAGAGAGAGAAGGAGCAAAGAACUUGUUUGAAGGUCGGAAUGUAAACAACGUAAUGCAGAGAUAAGUGGCCAAUAAAGUUCAACAUAUAAUAGAAUAUAUAAAAAUAUUGAUUUGAAAAAACAACUGUAAAAUAUAUAAAGAACAAUGUGUCUGAAGGAACACAAACAAGAAUAAUAAAAAACAAAGAGGAAGUGCGGUUUUCUUUUACGUAUAAUGAGUAUUGUUAUUCCGAUUUAGGAAAUUUAGUAGCCACGUUUUUGUCCCUUUACCUAGAUUAAAACCUUUUACAUACGCCUACAUCCGUUUACCGUUUGUAGCGUGGCAUUUUUCUGUAAAACAACAUUAGGUACGGCACAGUCAACAGCCUGAUACUAACAAGGUUAACUUUUAUUAAGCUCUUCAGAUAUCAAUGUGACAUGGACAAUCAGUCGAACGCUGCGCAAGCUUGAUCAGAUAGACGAGCCAUAAUUGGAGACCAUAUUGUACAUCCUACAUCUAUUAGUUUUUAUGAAAGCAAUUAUUCCAUAAUAUAAAAUAAAAGGGAACCUUCGCUACAUCAGACCCGUUAUGUCUAUCAGCUUAUGUAACGAUUAAAACCAAAUAAUUUUUUAAUAGUGACAGGAUCACCACGGAAAACAGGAACCAGCAUAAGUUCUGUAUUAGCCCAUUCCCAUCCGUGCGAUUAUUUUUCACGUAUAUAUUUCGUAUGUUUCGGAGGCACACAGCUAGUGGACAUAUCAUACUUUAUCUCUUCCAAAAACAUUUAUAUUUGAUUAAUUUAUAUUAUUAGAUAAUUAAAUAUAUAAAUAUUUAUAUUAUUAAAUAGUUUAUAUAAUAGAUACAAUAACAAGGAAAACACACAUAAAUGUACAGCGAAUUUAACGCAUUUUUCACG